Molecule: ribosomal RNA, 247 nt
Filed under: uncultured bacterium
Lineage: Bacteria
Description: partial 16S ribosomal RNA
Rfam family: Bacterial small subunit ribosomal RNA
Source: RNAcentral
AGAUGGCGACCGGCGCACGGGUGAGUAACACGUAUCCAACCUGCCGAUAACUCGGGGAUAACCUUUCGAAAGAAAGAUUAAUACCCGAUGGUAUAAUCAGACCGCAUGGUUUGAUUAUUAAAGAAUUUCGGUUAUCGAUGGGGAUGCGUUCCAUUAGGCAGUUGGUGAGGUAACGGCUCACCAAACCUUCGAUGGAUAGGGGUUCUGAGAGGAAGGUCCCCCACAUUGGAACUGAGACACGGUCCAA